RNAcentral lists this ribosomal RNA (410 nucleotides) under uncultured bacterium. Its description in RNAcentral is "bacterial SSU rRNA". It matches the Rfam family "Bacterial small subunit ribosomal RNA", at positions 508 to 916 of the family's 1533-position model. The record is from RNAcentral.
UCAGCAGCCGCGGUAAUACGUAGGGUGCGAGCGUUAAUCGGAAUUACUGGGCGUAAAGCGUGCGCAGGCGGCUUUGCAAGUCAGACGUGAAAGCCCCGGGCUUAACCUGGGAAUGGCGUUUGAAACUACGGAGCUGGAGUGUGGCAGAGGGGGGUAGAAUUCCACGUGUAGCAGUGAAAUGCGUAGAUAUGUGGAGGAAUACCGAUGGCGAAGGCAGCCCCCUGGGCCAACACUGACGCUCAUGCACGAAAGCGUGGGGAGCAAACAGGAUUAGAUACCCUGGUAGUCCACGCCCUAAACUAUGUCAACUAGUUGUUGGGGGAGUUAAAUCCCUUAGUAACGCAGCUAACGCGUGAAGUUGACCGCCUGGGGAGUACGGUCGCAAGAUUAAAACUCAAAGGAAUUGACGG